GACGAACGCUUGCGGCGUGCCUAAGAAAUGCAAGUCGAACGGGGUCCGUAGCAAUACGGGUCCAGUGGCGAACGGUCGCGUAACACGUAAGCAACCUGCCCUGGAGUGGGGGAUAACGUUCCGAAAGGGACGCUAAUACCGCAUGUGGUCGACUGGUGGCAUCACCGGUCGUCUAAAGAUUCAUCGCUCCGGGAUGGGCUUGCGGGCCUAUCAGGUAGUUGGCGGGGUAACGGCCCACCAAGCCGACGACGGGUAGCUGGUCUGAGAGGACGAUCAGCCGGAUUGGGACUGAGAUACGGCCCAGACUCCUACGGGGGGCGACGC
Molecule: ribosomal RNA, 324 nt
Filed under: uncultured bacterium
Lineage: Bacteria
Description: bacterial SSU rRNA
Rfam family: Bacterial small subunit ribosomal RNA
Source: RNAcentral